ACUAGCCUUCACUGGUCUCCGUUCAGAGCAACGGGGUCUAUUGGUCCAUUGUAUAUAUGUCAAUGGGUAUACCGUGCUCUUGAUUGUGACAUCUUCCAAUAUGAUUUGGCGUUGCUUCAUAUGCUACAUAUUUGUGGCAUUGACUCUGAAACAACUUUUGAUUCACAUUAACACCAUGCACAGCCCUGACUUUCGCGUCGUGUGCGGGAUUUAUGGCUGUCCAAUUAAGUACAGGGUGUAUAAUUCCUUCUACUAUCACGUGAAGCGGACACACGCGCAUCAUCUUCUCCAAGUUGAAGCGGCGGAGGAGGAAGGACCGACUCGCCACGGUUUACCUGGAGCAGGUGAAAGGAUAGCCGCAAACGACCAAGCAAGCCCUGUGGCUGAAGCGGAGGGCUGAAGCAUCGUCAUUCCAGCGAGUGGAUUUCAAGAAGAUGGAGAGGGUCGCAUGAAUGUUGACAUUUCUAAACAUGCAACUGCAUUUCUUCUUCAAGCCAGAGAAACCCAUCGACUGACACAGAGAGCUGUUAACCAAAUGGUGAGUGGAGUCCAGCAAUAUCAGGCCGCAUUAUUGGAGCACCUAAAACAGCAAAUGAGCGACAUGAUUGAGAGACAUUCUGGGGACCUGGAUCAACUAAAGAGUGAUGCAAUGGGGAUAUUUGACCAGUUUGUUGACCCUUUCCGUCAAAUUGCUUCCACCCAUUUGCAGGAUAAGACAAUCAAAGAACUGUUAGAACCAGUUGAACCAGAGAUUGUUGUUGCAAAAUGAACAGUAUGUUAUGUGAAACAUGGAGACUCCAGAGUUCUUACCAUUAAGGACCAUUGUUUUCAUUAUAUACCGUUGGUGAAAAGUUUGGAGCAGCUGCUAUCACAUCCAAGAACAAUUGCAAUGAUUGAUGAGAUGCCACAGACAUGCAAGGAUGGAUUUUUUUCAUGAUUUCAUUGAUGGAGAUAUUUUUAAGUCGCACCCACUGUUUUUGAAAUUUCCCACAGCAUUGCAGUUGGUUUUAUAUACAGAUGAAAUUUUAUGCAAUCCUCUUGGAUCUCGGGCAAACAAAAACAAAUUGUUAUUGAUUUAUUACACCUUAGGUAACAUCAACCCAAAAUACAGAUCAAGACUUGCUUCCAUUUGUCUGCUUGCAAUGGUAAAAUCAAAAGAUCUUUCCCAUUGUGGUAUUGAUGAGAUAUUUGAGAGGAUUAACCGUGACUUAACUGAGCUGUGUGAUGGUGUCCAGGUUGUCACUGCAAAUGGUGAGAGGACAAUUUAUGGAGCACUUAUGUCUGUGUGCGGAGACACUCUAGCUCAGCAUGAAGUGGCUGGAUUUAAGAUAGGUGUGGGAUUUGCCUACAGCAGUGGUUCUCAAACUUUUUUGGUCAUUCCCCACUUUGGACAAGUGGGAAUUUUCAAGCCCCACCUGCCCCCAUUGCCCCAACACAAUGCUAAUGAAAUACGCAACAAGCUUAAAAUGGUCCAAUUUAUUGAAGUAACAAGUUGUAUCGAAAUACAACUAUCUACAUCAAAUAACAGCAAAUUCAAAAAUAAAAGUGCAGCUGUGUCAAAAUUUGUAUCAA
Long non-coding RNA from Perca flavescens (yellow perch), 1572 nucleotides. RefSeq lists it as uncharacterized. The record is from RefSeq and is a predicted model, not a curated record. NCBI's taxonomy places the organism in Eukaryota, Metazoa, Chordata, Actinopteri, Perciformes, Percidae. The transcript has 3 exons.